UAAUACAGAGGGUACGCAAGCGUUAAUCGGAAUUACUGGGCGUAAAGGCGCACGUAGGCGGUUUUUUAAGUCAGAUGUGAAAGCCCCGGGCUCAACCUGGGAAUUGCAUUUGAAACUGGAAAACUAGAGUGUGUGAGAGGGGGGUAGAAUUCCAAGUGUAGCGGUGAAAUGCGUAGAGAUUUGGAGGAAUACCAGUGGCGAAGGCGGCCCCCUGGCACAACACUGACGCUCAGGUGCGAAAGCGUGGGGAGCAAACAGGAUUAGAUACCCUGGUAGUCCACGCCGUAAACGAUGUCUACUAGCUGUUCGUGUCCUUGUGGCGUGAGUAGCGCAGCUAACGCAUUAAGUAGACCGCCUGGGGGAGUACGGUCGCAAGAUUAAAACUCAAAUGAAUUGACGGGGGGCCCGCACAAGCGGUGGAGCAUGUGGUUUAAUUCGACGCAACGCGAAGAACCUUACCUACUCUUGACAUCCAGAGAAGACUGCAGAGAUGCGGUUGUGCCUUCGGGAACU
Molecule: ribosomal RNA, 513 nt
Filed under: uncultured Rheinheimera sp.
Lineage: Bacteria; Pseudomonadati; Pseudomonadota; Gammaproteobacteria; Chromatiales; Chromatiaceae
Description: bacterial SSU rRNA
Rfam family: Bacterial small subunit ribosomal RNA
Source: RNAcentral